Long non-coding RNA from Tympanuchus pallidicinctus (lesser prairie-chicken), 346 nucleotides. RefSeq lists it as uncharacterized. NCBI's taxonomy places the organism in Eukaryota, Metazoa, Chordata, Aves, Galliformes, Phasianidae. The record is from RefSeq and is a predicted model, not a curated record. The transcript is spliced from 3 exons.
ACUACCAGUGUGGAAGGACCUCUUUUGGAGGUACACUCUACUGGAGUUUUCCACACAAGCCCAGGAUAUGGAUCCUGGACAAUCCAUCUGGAACUGUAGUGUUGUCAUACUCUGCUGUAUGAGUUUAUGCCUGUGUAAUGACAGCAAGUGAGGAUUCACUCCAGUGCAACAGCAGUGGACACAGAAAUGUAGGAGAGAAGCUCUUUACCUUCAAAAGACUCAGGUUGUGAAGCUUCUCACUGCACACAUAACUUACGUUGGAUGAUAGAAUUUGGAAGACUGCAUGGGCUCUUUUGUCAACUCAGGCUACCUGUGCGCUGGGCAACAUCAGCAGACAGAACCUGCA